RNAcentral lists this non-coding RNA (226 nucleotides) under Paenibacillus sp. Its description in RNAcentral is "T-box sequence". It matches the Rfam family "T-box leader". From Rfam's summary of the family: Uncharged tRNA acts as the effector for transcription antitermination of genes in the T-box leader family. Lineage: Bacteria; Bacillati; Bacillota; Bacilli; Caryophanales; Paenibacillaceae. The record is from RNAcentral.
CCAAACGCAAUGAUUGGGACUAGUAAGGAACACCUAUUGUCCAGAGAGCUGUCGCUUCGGUGGAAGACAGCCAAUAGCUUCCCCAACUCACCCUUGAGCGGUAAGAUCGAAGUGUUUCGUAGAUCUUAACGGUUAACCACCGUGAUCGGGUCUCGAGGAUUUGUAACUAUUCAUGUUACGAAUCAAGAAGAGUGGUACCGCGAAGGUUUAACCUGUCGCCUCUUUG